UCGCCAGGGAGACUGAAGCCCACAGAACAGAUAUGACCCAUCCAGCCAUAUGGCAAGUUCCUGCCCCAUCAAUGUGCCUCCUCCCUGAUCUUAAGGGAUCGCGUCUAGGGAUGAGGGGAUAGUUUAGGGCUUCAUCCAUUGCCCACUGUGAUAUUU
RNAcentral lists this small RNA (156 nucleotides) under Chrysemys picta bellii (western painted turtle). RNAcentral describes it as "TUC338 (ENSCPBG00000015603.1)". Lineage: Eukaryota; Metazoa; Chordata; Testudines; Emydidae. The record is from RNAcentral.